Hibiscus syriacus is the source of this 107-nucleotide small nucleolar RNA. The record is from RefSeq and is a predicted model, not a curated record. NCBI's taxonomy places the organism in Eukaryota, Viridiplantae, Streptophyta, Magnoliopsida, Malvales, Malvaceae.
AAACCAUGAAUUAGGCAUUUCCAAAGUAAAUCUUUAAAUCGCUCCCAAGCUUCAUACAAAUUCUUAUCCUCCUAUUGCUUGAAAUAUGUGAUGUCGUUCCUCAAUCU